UACGUAGGUGACCAGCGUUGUCCGGAUUUACUGGGCGUAAAGAGCGCGCAGGCGGUCGUUCAAGUCGAGUGUGAAAGCCCCCGGCUCAACUGGGGAGGGUCAUUCGAUACUGAUCGACUCGAAGGCAGGAGAGGGAAGCGGAAUUCCCGGUGUAGUGGUGAAAUGCGUAGAUAUCGGGAGGAACACCAGUGGCGAAGGCGGCUUCCUGGCCUGUUCUUGACGCUGAGGCGCGAAAGCGUGGGGAGCGAACAGG
RNAcentral lists this ribosomal RNA (253 nucleotides) under uncultured bacterium. Its description in RNAcentral is "partial 16S ribosomal RNA". It matches the Rfam family "Bacterial small subunit ribosomal RNA", at positions 524 to 776 of the family's 1533-position model. The record is from RNAcentral.